GGGUCAUUCAUUUAUUCAAUAAAGAAAACUAUGCAAAUCGUUUGACGUGGAUAACGAAAAAGAUUGACACACACACAUGUUUUGAAAGCAUAAUAUAAUAUAUUCUAUUUAUUUUAACCAGGGAUAGCGACUGCCACUAAAUUAUGUUUCUGAGAUACUCCUUAAAUUUUUCACGUCUUUUACGAUGUACAUCUCACUAACUAAU
Molecule: long non-coding RNA, 205 nt
Filed under: Mytilus galloprovincialis (Mediterranean mussel)
Lineage: Eukaryota; Metazoa; Mollusca; Bivalvia; Mytilida; Mytilidae
Source: RNAcentral